This 440-nucleotide ribosomal RNA is filed under the name uncultured bacterium. RNAcentral describes it as "bacterial SSU rRNA". It matches the Rfam family "Bacterial small subunit ribosomal RNA", at positions 338 to 768 of the family's 1533-position model. The record is from RNAcentral.
CCUACGGGAGGCAGCAGUGGGGAAUUUUGGGCAAUGGCCGCAAGGCUGACCCAGCGACGCCGCGUGCGGGAGGAAGCCCCUCGGGGUGUAAACCGCUGUCAGGAGGGACGAACGCCAGGCGGUUGAAUAGGCCGCCCGGGUGACGGUACCUCCAGAGGAAGCGCCGGCUAACUCCGUGCCAGCAGCCGCGGUAAGACGGAGGGCGCAAGCGUUGUUCGGAAUUACUGGGCGUAAAGCGCGCGCAGGCGGAUGCCGCAAGUCGGGAGUGAAAGACCGGGGCUCAACCCCGGGCAUGCUUCCGAUACUGCGGGUCUAGGGACCGGUAGAGGCCGGUGGAAUUCCCGGUGUAGCGGUGGAAUGCGUAGAGAUCGGGAAGAACACCCGUGGCGAAGGCGGCCGGCUGGGCCGGAUCCGACGCUGAGGCGCGAAAGCGUGGGGAG